ACGACCGUACCGCAAACCGACACUGGUGCGCGAGAUGAGUAUUCUAAGGCGCUUGAGAGAACUCAGGAGAAGGAACUCGGCAAAUUGACACCGUAACUUCGGAAGAAGGUGUGCCCUAUUAGUGUGAAGUGAACAACGGAGCAUGAAUGGGUUGCAAAAAAUCGGUGGCUGCGACUGUUUAUUAAAAACACAGCACUCUGCAAACACGAAAGUGGACGUAUAGGGUGUGACGCCUGCCCGGUGCUGGAAGAUUAAAUGAUGGGGUGCAAGCUCUUGAUUGAAGUCCCAGUAAACGGCGGCCGUAACGAUAACGGUCCUAAGGUAGCGAAAUUCCUUGUCGGGUAAGUUCCGACCUGCACGAAUGGCGUAACGAUGGCCACACUGUCUCCUCCUGAGACUCAGCGAAGUUGAAAUGUUUGUGAUGAUGCAAUCUCCCCGCGGAAAGACGGAAAGACCCCAUGAACCUUUACUGUAGCUUUGUAUUGGACUUUGAACAGAUCUGUGUAGGAUAGGUGGGAGGCUUUGAAGCAGGGUCGCUAGAUCUUGUGGAGCCAACGUUGAAAUACCACCCUGGUGUGUUUGAGGUUCUAACCUAGGUCCAUUAUCUGGAUCGGGGACAGUGCAUGGUAGGCAGUUUGACUGGGGCGGUCUCCUCCCAAAGCGUAACGGAGGAGUUCGAAGGUACGCUAGUUACGGUCGGACAUCGUGACGAUAGUGCAAUGGCAUAAGCGUGCUUAACUGCGAGACUGACAAGUCGAGCAGAUGCGAAAGCAGGACAUAGUGAUCCGGUGGUUCUGUAUGGAAGGGCCAUCGCUCAACGGAUAAAAGGUACUCUGGGGAUAACAGGCUGAUACCGCCCAAGAGUUCAUAUCGACGGCGGUGUUUGGCACCUCGAUGUCGGCUCAUCUCAUCCUGGGGCUGUAGCCGGUCCCAAGGGUAUGGCUGUUCGCCAUUUAAAGAGGUACGUGAGCUGGGUUUAAAACGUCGUGAGACAGUUUGGUCCCUAUCUUCCGUGGGCGCUGCAGAUUUGAGGAAGCCUGCUCCUAGUACGAGAGGACCGGAGUGGACACACCUCUGGUGUAUCGGUUGUCACGCCAGUGGCAUUGCCGAGUAGCUAAGUGUGGAAGAGAUAACCGCUGAAAGCAUCUAAGCGGGAAACUCGUUUCAAGAUGAGAUCUGCCGGGGCCUUGAGCCCCCUAAAGAGUCGUUCAAGACCAGGACGUUGAUAGGUCAGGUGUGGAAGCCAAAAA
This 1250-nucleotide ribosomal RNA is filed under the name metagenome. RNAcentral describes it as "bacterial LSU rRNA". It matches the Rfam family "Bacterial large subunit ribosomal RNA", at positions 1638 to 2880 of the family's 2925-position model. The record is from RNAcentral.